GGAUGUGAGUGUGAUCUGGCUGUGACAUCUGUCACCCCAUUGAUAGCCAGGGUUGAUUCGGCUGAUCUGGCUGGCUAGGCGGGUGCUCCCAUCCUCCCUCACUACUCCAUGUGCAUUCCUCCCAAAACUGCUUGCUCAGUCAAUAAGGAUGGCCUUAUUCCCGGAAUAGAGAGGGACCAGUCUUCAGUCAAGGGUAUACAAGUAGCUGUGCUCCCCUUUUAGGACCUCCAAACAAGUUCUCAAGAAUAAGGAAGCUUUCAGUGGAGGGGGUGGGACAUAGAACUCUGGUGGUGGGAACUGUAUAGAAUUAAUUAUACCCCUGUUAUCUUACAGUCUUAUUAAUCAC
Erinaceus europaeus (western European hedgehog) is the source of this 346-nucleotide unclassified non-coding RNA. Its record names the gene 7SK. It matches the Rfam family "7SK RNA". From Rfam's summary of the family: 7SK was discovered as an abundant small nuclear RNA in the mid-70s but a possible function has only recently been suggested. Two independent studies have found that 7SK RNA binds the CDK9/cyclin T complex (known as elongation factor P-TEFb). NCBI's taxonomy places the organism in Eukaryota, Metazoa, Chordata, Mammalia, Eulipotyphla, Erinaceidae. The record is from Ensembl.